Eriocheir sinensis (Chinese mitten crab) is the source of this 591-nucleotide long non-coding RNA. RefSeq lists it as uncharacterized. NCBI's taxonomy places the organism in Eukaryota, Metazoa, Arthropoda, Malacostraca, Decapoda, Varunidae. The transcript has 3 exons. The record is from RefSeq and is a predicted model, not a curated record.
AGCACAGCAACGCGUACUGGCGGCCCCGUCUUGGUCCUGGCCUGGGUCUGGGGGCCGCCGCGCAGAGACCGCCGGGCCAAAGGCGUCCAGAGUGUGUCCGCCGCCGCCUCCUCGUUCAUCAUCGUCGCCUUUUCUCCCUUAUUAUUAUUAUUAUUAUUAUUAUUCCCUUCUCCCUGCGGCGGCGGCGAGGGAGAGAAGGGAGGAGGAGCGCCUGGCCUUCCUCCACACCGGUUAGAAAAGAAGAACAACAUGUUAUAACCACCACCAUCACCACCAACACCACCAUCACCACUAUGGCAACCACCACCCCCACCACAUGGCUGCCACCAACACCACCACUACCAGUACAGCAACCACCACCACCACCACCACCACCACUCAGCCCACCGUCAUAGAGAGUGGGCGGCCUCACCCUUUCCUGCCCUCGUAUUUGCUGGACAGUGUGGAGGAUGGCUUGGGCAGCAGUGGCAGCAGUGAGGUGGCGGCCGGCGGAGGGGGAGAGAGACAGGCGGAGAAGAACGUCAAGGUCCAUUUCAAUUCUUCCUUCAACGUUGUCAAGUACAGGGACAUCAAGGUGUGUGUGUGUGUGUG